GCCCAUCUGGUGGCAACACCAGUGAAGGCCCAGUGGCGAACGGGUGCGUAACACGUGAGCAACCCACCCCGAAGACCGGGAUAACACCGGGAAACCGGUGCUAAUACCGGAUGCCGUCACCGGAUCGCAUGGUCUGGUGACGAAAGGAUUCCGCUUCGGGACGGGCUCGCGGCCUAUCAGCUCGUUGGUGGGGUAACGGCCUACCAAGGCUUCGACGGGUAGCUGGUCUGAGAGGACGAUCAGCCACACUGGGACUGAGACACGGCCCAGACUCCUACGGGAGGCAGCAGUGGGGAAUCUUGCGCAAUGGGCGAAAGCCUGACGCAGCAACGCCGCGUGCGGGAAGACGGCCUUAGGG
Molecule: ribosomal RNA, 358 nt
Filed under: uncultured bacterium
Lineage: Bacteria
Description: bacterial SSU rRNA
Rfam family: Bacterial small subunit ribosomal RNA
Source: RNAcentral